Molecule: ribosomal RNA, 253 nt
Filed under: uncultured bacterium
Lineage: Bacteria
Description: partial 16S ribosomal RNA
Rfam family: Bacterial small subunit ribosomal RNA
Source: RNAcentral
UACGAAGGGGGCUAGCGUUGUUCGGAAUUACUGGGCGUAAAGCGUGCGCAGGCGGCCUUCCAAGUCAGGGGUGAAAGCCCAGAGCUCAACUCUGGAAUUGCCUUUGAGACUGAGUGGCUUGAGUACGAGAGAGGUGAGUGGAAUUCCCAGUGUAGAGGUGAAAUUCGUAGAUAUUGGGAAGAACACCGGUGGCGAAGGCGGCUCACUGGCUCGUAACUGACGCUCAUGCACGACAGCGUGGGGAUCAAACAGG